RNAcentral lists this ribosomal RNA (1235 nucleotides) under metagenome. RNAcentral describes it as "bacterial LSU rRNA". It matches the Rfam family "Bacterial large subunit ribosomal RNA", at positions 1564 to 2808 of the family's 2925-position model. The record is from RNAcentral.
UGAAUACGAGACGCUACGGCGUCGAAGCAGUCUAUGUCAUACUUCCAAGAAAAGCUUGCACUGUCAUAAACAAAUAAUGCCUGUACCAUAACCGACACAGGUGGGUAGGUAGAGUAUACUAAGGGGCGCGAGAUAACUCUCUCUAAGGAACUCGGCAAAAUGACUCCGUAACUUCGGGAGAAGGAGUGCCUUAUUCGUAAGGUUGCAAUAACAAGAUCCAAGCAACUGUUUAUCAAAAACACAGGUCUCCGCUAAGUCGUAAGACGAUGUAUGGGGGCUGACGCCUGCCCAGUGCCAGAAGGUUAAAGAAGUUGGUUAGCAUUCGCGAAGCUGAUAACUGAAGCCCUGGUGAACGGCGGCCGUAACAAUAACGGUCCUAAGGUAGCGAAAUUCCUUGUCGGGUAAGUUCCGACCCGCACGAAAGGCGUAAUGAUUUGGAUACUGUCUCGGAGAGAGGCUCGGUGAAAUAGACUUGUCUGUGAAGAUGCGGACUACCUGCACCUGGACAGAAAGACCCUAUGAAGCUUUACUGUAACUUGAAAUUGAAAUUGGACUUUAUUUGCGCAGUAUAGGUGGGAGGCGUUGAGAAUAUUCUUGCGGGAAUAUUGGAGCCAUCAGUGAGAUACCACUCUUGUAAUGUUAGAUUUCUAACUUUGGAUCAUUAUCUGGUCAAAGGACAGUUUCAGGCGGGCAGUUUGACUGGGGCGGUCGCCUCCCAAACGGUAACGGAGGCGUACAAAGGUUUCCUCUGAACGGGUAGAAAUCGUAUCUAGAGUGUAAAGGCAUAAGGAAGCUUGACUGUGAGACCUACAAGUCGAGCAGGGACGAAAGUCGGUCUUAGUGAUCUGACGGUGCUGAGUGGAAAGGCCGUCACUCAACGGAUAAAAGUUACUCUAAGGAUAACAGGCUGAUCUCCCCCAAGAGUUCACAUCGACGGGGAGGUUUGGCACCUCGAUGUCGGCUCAUCGCAUCCUGGGGCGGUAGUACGUCCCAAGGGUUGGGCUGUUCGCCCAUGAAAGCGGUACGCGAGCUGGGUUCAGAACGUCGUGAGACAGUUCGGUCCAUAUCCGGUGUAGGCGUUAGAAUAUUGAGAGGAGCCUUCUUUAGUACGAGAGGACCGAGAAGGACAUACCUCUGGUGUACCAGUUAUCGUGCCAACGGUAAACGCUGGGUAGCUAUGUAUGGAGAGGAUAACCGCUGAAAGCAUCUAAGUGGGAAGCCCACCUCAAGAUAAG